UAAAAAUUACAUUAAAUCCGAAACCUACUCAUUUCCCAUUCCUUUCAGCAAACCUCGUCUGCCUCGCUUCACCCUUCCCGGUUUCCCCCGGAAACCGUUGCCUACUUUCCCCUUUCUUCUCCUCCCGUGCCCGAAACCCGAGGCAGUACGGUGGCGUCUGCAGCUUGCUGGGAGGGAAGAUGACGACGGGAUCGCAGUGUACAAAUCUCUAAAGCUCUCUUAUAUCUCCUCUUUCUACUCUGCUCCUGUCCGUUUAACCCUCGUAUUUCUUUUCCUUCCUGCCAAGCUCCUCUCGCCCUACUCCUGGAUUUAGCUUUGUUAGGAUUUGGGCCAAAAAUUUUGGGGCGAUUAAGCACUCUCUUUCAUCCAUUUCUCAAAUUAUUACUGAAAUAUCAAAGGUCAUGAUAAAACCACAACUCUUAUUUUUCAUUUUUGUCAACUUUGCAAUGGUUUGAUCGUGACAGGCGUAAAUACUCCGAUAGUUCAAAAAAUCACCUAGAUGCUUGAUUUGUAAAUAGCAAUGUUUCUUGUUCUCUGCAGGUGAUUAUCUUGUAUUUAUGUAAAUCUUCCAAAUAUUUUUAGAGUUCAGCAAGAUUAGAAUAAUGAAAUGUUCUUUAUUCUCUUCUCUGAUUCUUGAAAAAAUAUUACAUCAGUACUCCGCACUUAGAGCUACGUUAAUAAAAUUAAGCCGCUCCGUGGAGGACUCAGGGAUGCUUCUCGAUCAAUGUGGGUGUUCGAUUUGUAAAUAGAUAUUUGUAGAACAACACUUUUUUCCGAAUGGCAAGUCAUGAAAGAUGGCCUGGUGUGUGGGGCUUCGCACCUCUCAGGCAAUCCGGGCAGUCAUGUUAUUAUUCGGAGGAUGGAUUGGAAGAUGAUAAAGUGUUUUUUGGUAUCCCAUUAAGAAGGAAUUAGCUUCCGUUUCAACGAACAUAUAUUUGGGAUUUUAAAUCUCAUCAUUCCAGGGAUUUAACAGUUUUCUGGUUUUAAUCCUCUCUAAAUUUACUAAAUCUGGCUUCGCAGGGUUUGUUAAAUUCAGCCAUCCAGUGCUGCCAUUAAACAUUGGGAACCAUAUGAAGGUUAAAUGCAUAAGAAUUCAGUGGUUUGUACGUAACUCUUUUUUAAUCUUAUUUUUUAGAUUCCCGCUCUUGUUCUUCAUCGAGGGAAGUGAUGGCAAAUCAUCGAUGGACCUUGAAUUUAAUAUGGAAAUUUUUUUUGUUCUCAAGCUAUGGUGGAUGGCAUGGGGCGAAGCUUCUCAGGCAGACUAAAUAGACAGUAAGAAUGCCAUUAAAUAAUCGGAACGUGAAGUUUAAAUACAUAAGAGUUCUGUGGUAUGUAUGUAAAUUUUCAAUUUUUCUUUUUUUCAUUUUAAGAUUAUGUUUUGGGUGUUCAUUGAGGAAAAUGAUGAUGAAUCAUUGAUCGACCUUAAGCUUGAGAUGGAAUAUUUACUUUUACUCGAGCUAUGGAGGAUAGCCUGGUCGGAGUCUUUUCAGGCUUCUUGCAUAUGCUUGCUAGUUUUCCAUUAAAUAAAAUGAACGAUGUGAAGUUUAAAUACAUACAAAUUUUGUGGUAUGUAGAUGUCCCAUUAUAAUCUUGAUACACCAUCAACAAAAUUCCAACUUUCAACACUAAUCUCGAGGUAUGCCACGGAGCUUUAGACAAUCUUUUAAGGAAAAAAUGUGUAAACUUUGAUAAGAAUUCUUCUAAAGCCCCAAUUUCAGCAAACUUACAGUCAAAUAGACUUGCUUGACGAGGCGGACCCAAUGGUAUCAAAAUUGGUCCAAUCCAAUUCAAAUCAAAAUUUGGUGUCACUGCUGGUUGUUUUCUUUUAUUUGAGAGUGUGUUGAAUUAUCGUGCAACGCCAAGACGAUAAUCCAUUACUCUACCGCCAUGAAUUUUCUAGCACGCUUAAAAUUUUAUUUUUAUUUUCUACUUUAUGCUAUUCUAUGAGGGAAGCGAUGAUGAAUCAGUGAUUGAUCUUGUACGUAAGAUGGGAAUUUGUCAUGUAAUGAAAUACGGAGGAUGGCUUUAUGGACAUGCAAGGCUGCUAUUUUUUAUUUUUUAUUAUGUAUUUUUUGUUCUCAAUUGGAUCACUCGGUUGUCCUUUUGUCCUCCUUGUUGCUUCGUCGGUUUUGGCCUAAUUAGCUUAUCUUGUAUUGGGCUUCACACCUCUCAGGCAACACCUGCAGUUCAUGUUAUGAUUCGGAGGAUGGAUUGGAAGAUAAAGGGUUGUUUGGUAUGCCAUUAAGCAGGAAUUAGCUUCCGUUUCAACUAACUUAUGUUUGUGAUUUUAAAUGUUAUCAUUUCUAGGAUUUAACAGUUUUUAGGUUGUAAUCCUGUUGAAAUUUACCAAAUCCGAGUUCACCUAAUUUUCUAAAAUCUACCAUGCUGGACUGCCAGGAAAGAACCGUAAGAAAGUUGAAUGUAUAAGAGAUCAGUGGUAUGUAUGUUAAACUUUCUAUUAUUUUAAUUUUAUUGUCAUAUUCUUGUUCUACAAUGAGGGAAGUGAUGGCGAAUGAUCGUUUGACCUUGAGCUUAAGCUGGAAGUUUUCUUUAUUCUCAAAGCUAUUGAGGAAUUCAUCCGGGGAAGCUUCUCUGUUAGCUUUUAUAUACAUGCUAGGGUGCCAUUAAAUAAGGUGAACCAUGAGAUGUGUAAAUACAUUAUAAUUCUUAGGUAUGUAUGUAAAUUUUCCGUAUUUAAUUUUUAUUUUGAGAUCAUGUUUCUUGCUUUUUGUUGAGGGAAAUGAUGAUGAAUCAUUCAUUAAUAUUGAACCAAGGAUGGAAUUUUUCCUGGUUGGAGUCUUCUCAGGCAAAUCACAUAGACAUGUUAGGCUGCCAUCAUAUAAAAUGAGCCAUGUGAAGUUUAAAUACGGAAGCAGUGACGAUUCAUUGAUUGAUCUUGUACUCAAGAUGGAAUUUCUUAUUGUAAUGAAGCUAUGGAGGAUGGACUUAUGGCAUGCAAGGCUGCUAUUAAGGAGAAUCAUGUGAAGUUUAAAUAUUUAAGAAUUCAGUGGUAUGAAUAUCAAUAUCCCUUUUUUUUUUCCCCUGCACUGAAACUAUUGAGGAUGGAGUUUUAAAGCUCCAAAUUGCUAUAUAGGUAAAUAUGAAAGUUUGGAUGUGAGAUGUGUAAAUACAUAAGAAUUGUGUGCUACACAUGUAUAUUUCCCUAUUUUUGUUUUUGGUUUUUGUUUCUUGUUCUUCAUUGAGGGAAGCGAUGAUGAUGCAUGGAUUGACUUUGAAAUAAAGUUGGAAUUUUUCCUUGUGCUGAAA
Phalaenopsis equestris is the source of this 3267-nucleotide long non-coding RNA. RefSeq lists it as uncharacterized. The record is from RefSeq and is a predicted model, not a curated record. The transcript is spliced from 3 exons. Lineage: Eukaryota; Viridiplantae; Streptophyta; Magnoliopsida; Asparagales; Orchidaceae.